This 547-nucleotide ribosomal RNA is filed under the name embryophyte environmental sample. RNAcentral describes it as "eukaryotic LSU rRNA". The stretch from base 144 to 299 matches the Rfam family "5.8S ribosomal RNA". Lineage: Eukaryota; Viridiplantae; Streptophyta. The record is from RNAcentral.
CCCGACACGGCUCGCCAACGCUGCGCCCGACACGGCUCGCCAACGAACCCCGGCGCGAGAAGCGCCAAGGAAAUUGAGUACUAGGAGCACGCCCUCGUAGCCUCGGUGUCGGGGGCGCGCCUUCUUUUUGUGAUAAUCUGAACGACUCUCGGCAACGGAUAUCUCGGCUCUCGCAUCGAUGAAGAACGUAGCGAAAUGCGAUACUUGGUGUGAAUUGCAGAAUCCCGUGAACCAUCGAGUCUUUGAACGCAAGUUGCGCCCGAGGCCUCCUGGUCGAGGGCACGCCUGCCUGGGUGUCACGUAUCGUCGCCCCCACUCCCCUCGGCUCACGAGGGCGGGGGCGGAUACUGGUCUCCCGCGCGCUCCCGCCCGUGGUUGGCCUAAAAUCGAGUCCUCGGCGACGGUCGCCACGACAAGCGGUGGUUGAGAGACCCUCGGACACGGUCGUGCGCGUGCUUGUCGCCCCCGGGACCUCCCGGACCCCCGAGCAUUGGCUUUCAAGGAUGCUCUCGUUGCGACCCCAGGUCAGGCGGGACUACCCGCUGAG